Long non-coding RNA from Solanum dulcamara, 1079 nucleotides. RefSeq lists it as uncharacterized. The record is from RefSeq and is a predicted model, not a curated record. The transcript is spliced from 5 exons. NCBI's taxonomy places the organism in Eukaryota, Viridiplantae, Streptophyta, Magnoliopsida, Solanales, Solanaceae.
AAUUCGGUGUACACCUUGUGGAACCCUCUUUUCCUUUUUCUGGCUAUUUGAUUUUUGCCCAUACAGAUCUGAAUUGAAGGUUGCCUGAGUUGUAUAUCUUGGUUUCCUGCAUUUCAACUAUUAAUGUGACUAUAACUUUUUUGCUUCAUGGUCUGAGUAUUUUCAAAAGAAUACAAAAUGGAGUUUAGGAGAUUGUAGUUUUUGUGAUGGAGGAAGGAGAUUCUCCUGUAAGAUGCUCAAAUAUGUAAUUGCAUAAUAACUGAAGACACUCCACUCGCACCAAUGAAAAUUAUGACAAAGCUUAAUUGAAUCAAUUCUCGAAAAAGCGUCUAGGUUACACAAAUUCCUAAUCUGCAUGAAUGACUCAUGCAUCACGUGUCAGCGCACCUCUGGAAAGUGGAUGAGGUGUCCACGGCUUAAGCACCUUGUUAUGCCUGCUUGGGAAAAACUAAAAAAGCCAGCAAUAUGCAGGGCUAUUCGUACAUGGGAAGAUCUUGAAUCACUGAUGAUGCCUAGUAUAGAAACAUCUGCAUAUGUCAUCAAGAAAAUUGCAAGAUUAUGGGGCACUGUGAUAUUCUUUUUGCAUCUACACUGGUAUCAUUUCUUCCUAACUUGAAAGUGGUGAGUGUGAGGUGCACAAUGUUAUCUAAAAGUGCCUUGUUUACAUUCUUGGACGGGUUAAAAAAUUUGGAAGUGCUCAACAUAUCUCAUUGUGACCUAGACGCUUUUUCGAGAAUUGAUUCAUCAAGCUUGGCCAGAAUUUUCUUUGGUGCAAGUAUGAAGAAGACCUCUGGAAAGUGGAUGAGGUUCAGUUGCAGCCACAGGGUGCGAAUGUUGGUGGUGUGAACCAGUUCAGGCUUCUUGUUCCAUUGGAGAAUGAAUCGACAAAAUCCGCAAAGAGGAAAGAAAUUCAAAUCCUUUACACAUGUAAAAUAUAUACAUACAUUCAGGUACUUUUAGAUAGAAAGUGUAGCUAUUAUUACUAAAUAUGAUACUUGUAGCUAUUCAAUUCCAAUAACUCUUUAAAUGUAGCUAUUUAUGUAAGUUCCUUAUUUAAAAAAAGUGCAGAAUUUCAUCUA